GAGUAAUGUCUGGGAAACUGCCUGAUGGAGGGGGAUAACUACUGGAAACGGUGGCUAAUACCGCAUAACGUCGCAAGACCAAAGAGGGGGACCUUCGGGCCUCUUGCCAUCAGAUGUGCCCAGAUGGGAUUAGCUUGUUGGUGAGGUAACGGCUCACCAAGGCGACGAUCCCUAGCUGGUCUGAGAGGAUGACCAGCCACACUGGAACUGAGACACGGUCCAGACUCCUACGGGAGGCAGCAGUGGGGAAUAUUGCACAAUGGGCGCAAGCCUGAUGCAGCCAUGCCGCGUGUAUGAAGAAGGCCUUCGGGUUGUAAAGUACUUUCAGCGGGGAGGAAGGUGUUGUGGUUAAUAACCGCAGCAAUUGACGUUACCCGCAGAAGAAGCACCGGCUAACUCCGUGCCAGCAGCCGCGGUAAUACGGAGGGUGCAAGCGUUAAUCGGAAUUACUGGGCGUAAAGCGCACGCAGGCGGUCUGUCAAGUCGGAUGUGAAAUCCCCGGGCUCAACCUGGGAACUGCAUUCGAAACUGGCAGGCUUGAGUCUUGUAGAGGGGGGUAGAAUUCCAGGUGUAGCGGUGAAAUGCGUAGAGAUCUGGAGGAAUACCGGUGGCGAAGGCGGCCCCCUGGACAAAGACUGACGCUCAGGUGCGAAAGCGUGGGGAGCAAACAGGAUUAGAUACCCUGGUAGUCCACGCCGUAAACGAUGUCUACUUGGAGGUUGUGCCCUUGAGGCGUGGCUUCCGGAGCUAACGCGUUAAGUAGACCGCCUGGGGAGUACGGCCGCAAGGUUAAAACUCAAAUGAAUUGACGGGGGCCCGCACAAGCGGUGGAGCAUGUGGUUUAAUUCGAUGCAACGCGAAGAACCUUACCUGGUCUUGACAUCCACAGAAGAAUCCAGAGAUGGAUUUGUGCCUUCGGGAACUGUGAGACAGGUGCUGCAUGGCUGUCGUCAGCUCGUGUUGUGAAAUGUUGGGUUAAGUCCCGCAACGAGCGCAACCCUUAUCCUUUGUUGCCAGCGGUUAGGCCGGGAACUCAAAGGAGACUGCCAGUGAUAAACUGGAGGAAGGUGGGGAUGACGUCAAGUCAUCAUGGCCCUUACGACCAGGGCUACACACGUGCUACAAUGGCGCAUACAAAGAGAAGCGACCUCGCGAGAGCAAGCGGACCUCAUAAAGUGCGUCGUAGUCCGGAUUGGAGUCUGCAACUCGACUCCAUGAAGUCGGAAUCGCUAGUAAUCGUGGAUCAGAAUGCCACGGUGAAUACGUUCCCGGGCCUUGUACACACCGCCCGUCACACCAUGGGAGUGGGUUGCAAAAGAAGUAGGUAGCUUAACCUUCGGGAGGGCGCUUACCACUUUGUGAUUCAUGACUGGGGUGAAGUCGUAACAAGGUAACCGUAGGGGAACCUGCGGUUGGAUCACCUCCUUACCUUAAA
Molecule: ribosomal RNA, 1435 nt
Filed under: Salmonella enterica subsp. enterica serovar Enteritidis
Lineage: Bacteria; Pseudomonadati; Pseudomonadota; Gammaproteobacteria; Enterobacterales; Enterobacteriaceae
Description: bacterial SSU rRNA
Rfam family: Bacterial small subunit ribosomal RNA
Source: RNAcentral